This 3257-nucleotide long non-coding RNA is filed under the name Oreochromis niloticus (Nile tilapia). Its description in RNAcentral is "lncRNA (ENSONIG00000041498.1)". The record is from RNAcentral. Lineage: Eukaryota; Metazoa; Chordata; Actinopteri; Cichliformes; Cichlidae.
AUGAGCACAGCAGUGGACUCAGUCAGUGUUUCCAUCACAUCCAGGCCCAGAAGACUUGGAGGAAAUGAAGAUUUUGUUCUUCCACUUAUUUCCUGUCAUAUUCUGCACUUCUUACUUCUUUCAGCUGCCCAUGAAACAAUGAAAGCUUUCUGCAAGAAAGACAAUAAAGAUCAGUUUGAUCAUCAACAUGAAGUUUGUUUUUAUUUGACAGCAUCAGCUGUUGCAUCAAGUAAGGAGUCAAAGGCAGCAAAGAGCUGUUUGUGUGUUUUUGGAGUGGAUCACUGCGGCUUUAUUCACGUGUCCUCUCUACAGAAGUUUGUCUCCUUCAAACUAAAGUGUCUCAGACACGUGCAGCACGUGAGCACAAAGAUGUUUUUGGUCACGUGGUGGGCACGAGGAGCUCUCAGUGAGUUUGGAGCUGAAACAUCUUUGACUCCCAGAGUUCAACUGUGAAAGUGAAACAAGCAAACAUGGAUAUUUAGGAGCCUCAGACGGUGUGAUGAUGAUGAUGAACCCAGGAAAGAAACAAAGAGAGAAAAGAACAGAUUGGAGAUCAGAGCUGAACACACACUUUUUUAAAAGCAUGCAGGAGCCGUGAGGACGAGCACGGAUUCAUUCAUUCAUAUCUGCACUGUAAUCUGAACUCUCUCUCCCUCUCUUUCUAAUCUCAUGUCUGAAGGUGAGAAGGACACCGUCUCCCUGACAGAAAAGCUUCUCCACCCACACAGCUGAAGAAGAAGAAGAUAUUUACAGUGUGUACAAUGGCAUCACUCUUCCACACACAGACAAUCACUUGUUGAUGCAGCGUGGUCCAGCUGGGAGUAAGGAGGUAGGAAAGCUGAGCCAGUGUUCCCGCUUUAAAGAAGGCACCUUCAGCCAAUCACUGACUCCACCCACAACUCAGCAUAGUGACAAAUACUCAGUACAGGCUAAACAGCACCACCCUCAGGCCAACACGGAGAAAAACAUUCACACUGAAACAAGACAAAUGAUGAUCAGGGCCCUGUUUCAGAAAGCCGGUUUAGAAAACCGAUAAAUGAUACUCAGCGUUGAGUAACCCCGAACUGUCCAACUCGGAAUAUUCGGGUUCAGAAAGGCUGAUAACAAUUAGUUCAAUCAACGCGGAGUUGCUUUAACCCCAAGUUAAGCGCGCGCACGAGGAUACAUAAAGCCCUGAUUAGUGGAGCACAGAUUAAGCGAGUCACCAUGGAGACGGAGGGAAAGAAGGCGCGGUCAAUGUAUUUUACAGCGCUUGAGGCCGAAAUUCUGAUGGUAGCAUAUACCGAUAACAUGCAAAUUUUUGCGGAAAAAAAGUAACACAGCCUCAGCUGCAAAAGAAAGGGAGCACGCAUGGCAAAACAUAGCCGACAGAGUCAAUGCGUGAGUGUUAAUUUAAACAUUGAUCUAGGGAUUUCCACCCAUUUAACACGUUAUUUUAUUAUAUUUCAUUUUAUUUUUUAUGUUAUACAUUUUAUUUUGUGAUGUGAUGUGAGCGCAGGUGCAACCCAACAGGUCCCAAACGUUCCUGGCAGCAAGUAAAAAUGAAAUAUAAAAAUAUAGUCCAAACAGGUAAGGUGUAAUUGCAUUAUGAGCCAUAGUGCUUGGUCUGUUUGUCCUAUGUAAAUCAAUUGCAGUUAGAGGCUACAUUAAUUUUCUUUCUGUAAGCACUUAUUGAAAUUAUCUGAGCACAUUACAAGUACAUAUUUGCUUACUCUGUAUGCUCAAAUGUGACCCGUUAUAGCCAACAGAAAAAAAGCGGAGGGCCGAAAAACAGGUGGGGGUCCUCCACCACCACCACUCACAGAGGCUGAGCAGUUGGCCCUCAGCCAAAACAGUGGGCGCCCUGUGGCUGAAGGCAUCUCUGCAGGGACAUCCUCUGAGUCAAUAACCCCGCAAGACACAAGUGCCUACAUAAGAGGUAAAUUACUAUACUCCAUUACUAUAAUGAAAUAAUUUGUUAGUUUGAAAUGCUACAGGGAUGCUACAGGGAACUAUGUACCUGUACAUUAAUGCUGUGGAAAGACUUCCUGUUCACAUAGUCUCCUUCAUUUACUGAAGGAGCAAUGAUUGGAAUGUGAGUGCCAUCUAUACAGCCAAUCACGCCUGGGAACCCUGAAAAUAAAUGUAAAAUUUAAGUAGUAGUUCAAGUAUCACCACAUCAUGAAUUAAGUUUUGUUCAUCCUUAUACCUGCAAUUUUGUGGAAUCCCUCUCUGAUAAAUCUUGUGGGUCUAUGACCGGGGAACACCACAAACGAGUACAGGAGACGUUUCAGUGCAACUGUAACAUUCCUGACUGCCCGACAGACGGUAGCCUUGGAAACGUGCUCAGCGUCACCAAUAUUAUACAGAAAGCUCCCGUUUGCAAAAAACCGAAGUGCAAUACAAAUAAUAUGUACAGAACUGAGAGAAUGUCCGCAAUGUGUCACAUGAGCAAUAUAAGGCCUGAGGAUGUUAUUCAAAUAAAUUAUAGAUUGUGCUGACAAACGGUAACGUUCACACAGAAAAUCAUCAGGAAAUGAUAAAAUGUCCAAACGCGCUCUAAUCACUCUCUCCCGGCGGAGAGCUCUGCGGAGAAUUUGGGCUUCAACAUCUACUGGCUCUUCAAGGAAGGGGCACGCCAUGUCUGACACUUCCUACAGUCAGGUUUCCGACAAAGAGGCGGAGAAGGUCAGGGUUAGUUGAAGUAAACCUGCUAGGGGGCAGGUUAGCUUCACGGAGUGUGUCGUCAUAGUAACUCACUCAGAAUUAAUCUAAACUCGCUUUGUGAAACCGAAAACCCAGAGUUUUCGUUACCUCAGGGUAUACUUACUCAGAGUUUGCACUAAACCGGCUUUCUGAAACAGGGCCCUGGGCUCCAAACAUUCAUAUCCAACACAUGUAAAGCCUUCAAACAUCAUCUGCUAAUGUUUCUGUUUAUUCUAUGAUUAUUUUAAAAUGAGCUCACAGCCACCUGUCGUCCUGCUGAGCUCCACCAAGGGGCCACUUUAAGGACCUGUCAGAUAAUCUUAUUAGUCAAUCAUUAUCUUAUCAUUUUACAAUUCUAUUUAAACUUUCAGCAACUUAGGACCCCACAUCCAGUCAUUCACCCAUUCACACACACAUUCACACACUGGUGAUGGCAAGUUACAUUGUAGCCACAGCCGCCCUGGGGCGCACUGACAGAGGCGAGGCUGCCGGAAACUGGCGCCACCGGGCCCUUUGACCACCACCAGUAGGCAACGGGUGAAGUGUCUUGCCCAAGGACACAACAACUGAGA